Molecule: long non-coding RNA, 476 nt
Organism: Xenopus laevis (African clawed frog)
Lineage: Eukaryota; Metazoa; Chordata; Amphibia; Anura; Pipidae
Exons: 2
Source: RefSeq, a predicted model, not a curated record
CUUAGUUUACCCCCAGCUCCUUGGUUCUGAUCUAAAUGCACGCCGUGCCCUCAAUUUUUUUUCCAUUGAAAGCGCUGCCUUUGUACAGACUAAGGAAUGGCACAUACACACAAGGGCUGCGGACGAGGCUACACUGAAGAAUGUGGAUGCAAACUGAAACAGCAAGUCACCUAAAGUCCCCAAGUGCUGAUUUAUGUUCCACUCCAUGAGAUAAAUGUGACUGUUGAAAGGGACCCAUGCUUACCAGAUUAUUUUCCUGACGAGGUUAGCCAUCAGAAAGAACUUGAUAAAGCUGUGAUACCUACAGAGUCAAAGAGCAAUAGUCAAGGAAGCUGGAUUAAUGCUGCAGCUAAUUUUCUUUCAAAAACAUUUUUCUGGUGAUUAUACAAAUUCAUAUUGACAAAUGCAAAUAUGUAAGAUUUUACUGUAUGUCUUUUUAAAUGUUUAAUUAAACACUAACAUUUUGUCAAUUUUAA